This 592-nucleotide ribosomal RNA is filed under the name uncultured bacterium. RNAcentral's name for it is "bacterial SSU rRNA". It matches the Rfam family "Bacterial small subunit ribosomal RNA", at positions 8 to 610 of the family's 1533-position model. The record is from RNAcentral.
AGAGUUUGAUCCUGGCUCAGAGUGAACGCUGGCGGCAUGGCUCAGACAUGCAAGUCGAACGCCUCGCAAGAGGAGUGGCAAACGGGUGCGUAACACGUGAGCAACCUACCUUAAAGUGGGGGAUAGCCCAGGGAAACUUGGAUUAAUACCGCAUGUGGUCGGCCUUCGCAUGGAGGCUGUACUAAAGCUUGUAAUGGCGCUUUAAGAGGGGCUCGCGCCCUAUCAGCUCGUUGGUGAGGUAACGGCUCACCAAGGCUAAGACGGGUAGCUGGUCUGAGAGGAUGAUCAGCCACACUGGGACUGAGACACGGCCCAGACACCUACGGGUGGCAGCAGUUUCGAGUCAUUCACAAUGGGCGAAAGCCUGAUGAUGCAAUGCCGCGUGGGGGAUGAAGGUUUUCGGAUCGUAAACCCCUGUCAUCAAGGAACAAAAACCGGUGAAGAGCCGGCUUGAGCUAACUUGAAGAGGAAGAGGUGGCUAACUCCGUGCCAGCAGCCGCGGUAAUACGGAGACCUCGAGCGUUACUCGGAUUCACUGGGCGUAAAGGGAGCGCAGGCGGCUGUGUGUGUCAGGUGUGAAAGCCCAGGGCUC